AGCUCCAAUAGCGUAUAUUAAAGUUGUUGCAGUUAAAAAGCUCGUAGUUGGAUUUCUGGCAGGAGCGACCGGUCACGCACUUUGUGCGUUAACUUGCGUUAUCUCUGGCCAUCCUUGGGGAGAUCCUAUUUGGCAUUAAGUUGUCGGGUAGGGGAUACCCAUCGUUUACUGUGAAAAAAUUAGAGUGUUUAAAGCAGGCUUAUGCCGUUGAAUAUAUUAGCAUGGAAUAAUAAGAUAUGACUUCGGAACUAUUUUGUUGGUUUGCGUUACGAAGUAAUGAUUAAUAGGGAAAGUUGGGGGUAUUCGUAUUCCGUUGUCAGAGGUGAAAUUCUUGGAUUUCCGGAAGACGAACUACUGCGAAAGCAUUUACCAAGGAUGUUUUCA
Molecule: ribosomal RNA, 384 nt
Filed under: uncultured eukaryote
Lineage: Eukaryota
Description: SSU rRNA
Rfam family: Eukaryotic small subunit ribosomal RNA
Source: RNAcentral